Molecule: ribosomal RNA, 400 nt
Filed under: uncultured bacterium
Lineage: Bacteria
Description: bacterial SSU rRNA
Rfam family: Bacterial small subunit ribosomal RNA
Source: RNAcentral
UGGGGAAUUUUGGACAAUGGGGGCAACCCUGAUCCAGCCAUUCCGCGUGAGUGAAGAAGGCCUUCGGGUUGUAAAGCUCUUUCAGCGGGGAAGAAACGGUGGGCUCUAACAUAGCCUGCUAAUGACGGUACCCGCAGAAGAAGCACCGGCUAACUACGUGCCAGCAGCCGCGGUAAUACGUAGGGUGCGAGCGUUAAUCGGAAUUACUGGGCGUAAAGCGUGCGCAGGCGGCGACAUAAGACAGAUGUGAAAUCCCCGGGCUCAACCUGGGAACUGCGUUUGUGACUAUGUGGCUAGAGUGUGGCAGAGGGGGGUGGAAUUCCACGUGUAGCAGUGAAAUGCGUAGAUAUGUGGAGGAACACCGAUGGCGAAGGCAGCCCCCUGGGUCAACACUGACGCU